AACGCUGGCGGCAUGCUUUACACAUGCAAGUCGAACGGUAACAGGGAGCUUGCUCCGCUGACGAGUGGCGAACGGGUGAGUAAUGCAUCGGAACGUACCCAGUCGUGGGGGAGUAACGUAGCGAAAGUUACGCUAAUACCGCAUACGUCCUGAGGGAGAAAGCGGGGGACCGUAAGGCCUCGCGCGAUUGGAGCGGCCGAUGUCGGAUUAGCUAGUUGGUGGGGUAAAGGCCUACCAAGGCGACGAUCCGUAGCGGGGUCUGAGAGGAUGAUCCGCCACACUGGGACUGAGACACGGCCCAGACUCCUACGGGAGGCAGCAGUGGGGAAUUUUGGACAAUGGGGGCAACCCUGAUCCAGCCAUGCCGCGUGAGUGAAGAAGGCCUUCGGGUUGUAAAGCUCUUUCAGACGGAAAGAAAACGCAUCGGUGAAUACCCGGUGUGGAUGACGGUACCGUAAGAAGAAGCACCGGCUAACUACGUGCCAGCAGCCGCGUG
This 496-nucleotide ribosomal RNA is filed under the name uncultured bacterium. Its description in RNAcentral is "bacterial SSU rRNA". It matches the Rfam family "Bacterial small subunit ribosomal RNA", at positions 32 to 521 of the family's 1533-position model. The record is from RNAcentral.